Small nuclear RNA from Pipistrellus kuhlii (Kuhl's pipistrelle), 105 nucleotides. Lineage: Eukaryota; Metazoa; Chordata; Mammalia; Chiroptera; Vespertilionidae. The record is from RefSeq and is a predicted model, not a curated record.
GUGCUUACUUUGACAACACAUACACUAUAAAUUAGAACAAUACAGAGAUUAGCAUGUUUCCUGUGCAAGGAUGACAUGCAAAUUUGUGAAGCAUUCCAUAUUAAA